CCCUUAGAUGUUCUGGGCUGCACGCGCGCUACACUGAAGCGUUCAACGAGUAUUCACCUUGCCCGGGAGGGUUGGGUAAUCUUUUGAAAACGCUUCGUGAUGGGGAUAGAUUAUUGCAAUUAUUAAUCUUCAACGAGGAAUUCCUAGUAAGCGCGAGUCAUCAGCUCGCGUUGAUUACGUCCCUGCCCUUUGUACACACCGCCCGUCGCUCCUACCGAUUGAAUGGUCCGGUGAAAUGUUCGGACCGCGACAAGGCGGACGGUUCGCUGUCAGCUUUGCUGCGGGAAGUUCAUUAAACCUUAUCAUUUAGAGGAAGGAGAAGUCGUAACA
Molecule: ribosomal RNA, 330 nt
Filed under: uncultured eukaryote
Lineage: Eukaryota
Description: partial 18S ribosomal RNA
Rfam family: Eukaryotic small subunit ribosomal RNA
Source: RNAcentral